This is an RNA transcript of Neoarius graeffei (lesser salmon catfish), 1438 nucleotides long. RefSeq lists it as uncharacterized. The transcript has 3 exons. The record is from RefSeq and is a predicted model, not a curated record. Lineage: Eukaryota; Metazoa; Chordata; Actinopteri; Siluriformes; Ariidae.
AAUGGUUUCAGAGAUGGAUAACCAUAGUUACCCUAAAAUGCCAUGAUAAGACAGCAGAAACCUAGAUGAUUGCGCCUGAUAAAAGGAGGGUGAGAAGGGGAGGAUGGUGCCGAGGGCUUGCUACGAGCCUGUGUGUGUAUAUGUGUGUCUAAGUUGUGUGCUGUAAAGCAGUAAUAAAGUAGAGAACGAAUUGCAAACAAUCGCCUGCCGUGCUUCUGUGCUCCACCCACAACAGAGUCUUCCUACAGUGGUGCCGAAACCUGGGAGAGUGCAGAAGGGAACAGCCCCAUGGAGUCCUCGCUGUUUAAGGAGCUGAUCCAUGCCCUCGCCACAGCCCAGCAGAACCAGCACCAAGCACUGGUCGCCCUCCAGAAGGAGCAGGAGCAACGAUUCAAAGCCUUGGUGCUGGCCCAGCAGGAGGACUGCCAGGCGUUCCGGCACCUGCUCGCGUUGGCAGGGCCCAUGACCCCCACCGGAGCGGACCCUCCCCACCUCACCUUAACAAAGAUGGGUCUGCACAAUGACCUGGAAGCCUUCCUCGCGCUCUUCGAGCAGGCAGCUGAGGCAUGGGGUUGGCCGGUGGACCAGCACACGGCGCGCCUCCUUCCCCUGCUGACGGGCGAGGCGCAACUGGCCGCGCUGCAGCUCCCCGCCGACAGCCGGCUCGUCUAUGUGAACCUUUGUAGAGCCAUCCUCCAGCGUGUCGGCCGCUCCCCAGAGCAACAACGGCAGCGCUUCCGCUCACUGUGCUUGGAGGAGGUCGGCCGGUCGUUCACGUUCGGGCAGCAACUCCGGGAUGCCUGCCAGCAGUGGCUGAGGGCAGACGACCGCGACGCCAAGGGAGUGACCGACCUGGUGACACUGGAACAAUUCGUCGCGCGACUUCCGGAAGGAAUGGCGGAGUCACUGGACCAGGCGAUCUAGCUGGCAGAGGAUCACAUGGCAGCAGUUCCGAUGGCAGGACGGCAUGUCUCCUCUUCUCCUCUCUCUUCUCCCUCUCUCUCUGUUUCCCAUCCCCACCCCAUCCCCCCACCGCGGAGGAGGGGGCCGGCUCCACUCCAGCCGGCCCGGCGCACCCGUGGUGUCCUCCCGUUUCCCCCUUCCUUGUCUGUGUCUCCUCCCCCUCAGGUGAGUGAUGCCCGUAACACUGGUGCAGAGGGAGAGCCUGGGCCGGUGUGCUGGCACUGCGGGGAGCCGGGACAUCUCUAACAUCAGUGCUCCACGAUGGAGGUGGGUGCGGUGGUCCAGGUCCCUGACGUGCCAGAAACUGCCCUCGAUCGGGCUGGAGCGUAUUGAAUACCGACAGACGCAUCGGACAAAGGGCUGGGGGCCGUUCUGUCCCAGGAGGUGGAGGGGGAGGAGCGUCCCAUGCUGUACAUUAGCCGGAAGCUGUCGAUGCGGGAAGGCAGGUACAGCACGAUUGAAAAAGAGUGCCUAG